RNAcentral lists this transfer RNA (85 nucleotides) under Felis catus (domestic cat). It matches the Rfam family "tRNA". Rfam says of the family: Transfer RNA (tRNA) molecules are approximately 80 nucleotides in length. Their secondary structure includes four short double-helical elements and three loops (D, anti-codon, and T loops). Lineage: Eukaryota; Metazoa; Chordata; Mammalia; Carnivora; Felidae. The record is from Rfam by way of RNAcentral. RNAcentral also lists the same sequence under 5 other names.
ACCUGGGUGGCUCAGUUGGUUAAGCGUCUGACUUCAACUCAGGUCAUGAUCUCACAGUUUGUGGGAUCAAGCCCCACAUCGGGCU